ACGGGGUGCAGCAGGCGCGAAACUUUACAAUGCGGGAAACCGCGAUAAGGGGAUACCGAGUGCCAGCAUCUUAUGUUGGCUGUCCACAUGUUUAAAUAGCAUGUGUUAGCAAGGGCCGGGCAAGACCGGUGCCAGCCGCCGCGGUAACACCGGCGGCCCGAGUGGUAGCCACUAUUAUUGGGUCUAAAGGGUCCGUAGCCGGUUUGAUCAGUCUUCCGGGAAAUCUGAUAGCUUAACUAUUAGGCUUCUGGGGGAUACUGUCAGGCUUGGGACCGGGAGAGGUAAGAGGUACUAGAGGGGU
This 301-nucleotide ribosomal RNA is filed under the name uncultured archaeon. RNAcentral describes it as "bacterial SSU rRNA". It matches the Rfam family "Archaeal small subunit ribosomal RNA", at positions 325 to 627 of the family's 1478-position model. The record is from RNAcentral.